CCCAGACUCCUACGGGAGGCAGCAGUGGGGGAUAUUGCACAAUGGGGGGAACCCUGAUGCAGCGACGCCGCGUGGGUGAAGGAGCGUUUCGGCGCGUAAAGCCCUAUCGGCAGGGAAGAAGGAGGACGGUACCUGACUAAGAAGCCCCGGCUAACUACGUGCCAGCAGCCGCGGUAAUACGUAGGGGGCAAGCGUUAUCCGGAUUUACUGGGUGUAAAGGGGGCGCAGACGGCAGCGCAAGCCAGGAGUGAAAGCCCGGGGCCCAACCCCGGGACUGCUCUUGGAACUGCGCGGCUGGAGUGCAGGAGGGGCAGGCGGAAUUCCUGGUGUAGCGGUGAAAUGCGUAGAUAUCAGGAGGAACACCGGUGGCGAAGGCGGCCUGCUGGACUGCGACUGACGUUGAGGCCCGAAAGCGUGGGGAGCAAACAGGAUUAGAUACCCCGGUAAAC
This 449-nucleotide ribosomal RNA is filed under the name uncultured bacterium. RNAcentral describes it as "partial 16S ribosomal RNA". It matches the Rfam family "Bacterial small subunit ribosomal RNA", at positions 330 to 795 of the family's 1533-position model. The record is from RNAcentral.